This 500-nucleotide ribosomal RNA is filed under the name uncultured bacterium. RNAcentral describes it as "partial 16S ribosomal RNA". It matches the Rfam family "Bacterial small subunit ribosomal RNA", at positions 30 to 523 of the family's 1533-position model. The record is from RNAcentral.
AUUGAACGCUGGCGGAAUGCUUUACACAUGCAAGUCGAACGGCAGCACGGGGGCAACCCUGGUGGCGAGUGGCGAACGGGUGAGUAAUGUAUCGGAACGUGCCCAGUCGUGGGGGAUAACGUAGUGAAAAUUACGCUAAUACCGCAUACGAUCUAUGGAUGAAAGCGGGGGAUCGCAAGACCUCGCGCGAUUGGAGCGGCCGAUAUCAGAUUAGGUAGUUGGUGGGGUAAAGGCUCACCAAGCCGACGAUCUGUAGCUGGUCUGAGAGGACGACCAGCCACACUGGAACUGAGACACGGUCCAGACUCAUACGGGAGGCAGCAGUGGGGAAUUUUGGACAAUGGGCGAAAGCCUGAUCCAGCCAUUCCGCGCGCAGGAUGAAGGCCUUCGGGUUGUAAACUGCUUUUGUACGGAACGAAACGGCGAGCUCUAGUACAGUUUGCUAAUGACGGUACCGUAAGAAUAAGCACCGGCUAACUACGUGCCAGCCGCCGCCGUAA